This 489-nucleotide ribosomal RNA is filed under the name uncultured bacterium. RNAcentral's name for it is "bacterial SSU rRNA". It matches the Rfam family "Bacterial small subunit ribosomal RNA", at positions 173 to 651 of the family's 1533-position model. The record is from RNAcentral.
AUACGAUCGCGGAGCUGCGGCUUCGUGAUGAAAGGCGCUUCGGCGCCACCCGGGGAUGAGCCUGCGUCUCAUUAGCUAGUUGGUGGGGUAAUGGCCUACCAAGGCGAUGAUGAGUAGCCGGCCUGAGAGGGUGUACGGCCACACUGGGACUGAGAUACGGCCCAGACUCCUACGGGAGGCAGCAGCUAAGAAUAUUCCGCAAUGGACGAAAGUCUGACGGAGCGACGCCGCGUGGAUGAUGAAGGCCGUGAGGUUGUAAAAUCCUUUUGUCGGGGAAGAAUAAGCGUGGGAGGGAAUGCCCGCGUGAUGACAUGAACCGGCGAAUAAGCCCCGGCUAACUACGUGCCAGCAGCCGCGGUAACACGUAGGGGGCAAGCGUUGUUCGGAAUUACUGGGCGUAAAGGGCAUGUAGGCGGUUCUGUAAGCCUGACGUGAAAGGCUAUGGCUCAACCAUGGCAUUGCGUUGGGAACUGCGGGACUUGAGUCACG